Molecule: RNA transcript, 2460 nt
Organism: Telopea speciosissima
Lineage: Eukaryota; Viridiplantae; Streptophyta; Magnoliopsida; Proteales; Proteaceae
Gene name: phosphatidylinositol/phosphatidylcholine transfer protein SFH9-like
Exons: 15
Source: RefSeq, a predicted model, not a curated record
CUUCUCUUGUCUUCACGUUUCUUGAUCUACUUAGUUUUCCUUUCUCUGAUUCUUCUCCUCACGUUACUGGAACAGUGGAGCUGAGAUCUUUCGUCAUUCUUUCUGCCUCGGUUUUAUGCGUUUCGAGUUGUUGCUAUUACCGCUUUGUCUUUUCAUGGUUGGACUUGUGGUGCUUCUGGCGAAUUUUGUCUGAUUUGAGAGAGCUAUUACUCAUUAAAAGUAGAAUCUUUUGGAGAUUGAUGAGAUCUGCUGCUUAAAUUUUAGAUUUCUUCUUUUUUAUUUUCAUUCUUUGAGAUCGAGUUUAUUUUCUUUCGCGCGGAGCUGACAAUGGCAGGUGAAGGAUUUUUUAUUCAAGAUGAUGAACGAGCUAGGAAAUCUGAUUAUGAGACGUCUGAGGACGAGAGGAGGAGGACGAGAAUCGGAUCUAUCAAGAAAAAGGCAAUGCACGCUUCAAACAAGUUUUCACACACUCUCAGGAAACGAGGUAAGCGAGUUGGCGACUGUCGGUUGCCAUCUGUGUCAAUCGAAGAUGUUCGAGAUGCAGAGGAGGAAGAAGCGGUCAAUGCAUUUCGUCAGGCUCUGCUCAAGAAAGAUCUUCUUCCUGCCCGCUUCGAUGAUUAUCACACAAUGAGGAGAUUUUUGAAAGCAAGAAAAUUUGAUCUUGAAAAAACUGUCCAGAUGUGGGCAGAAAUGCUCAAGUGGAGAAAAGAGUAUGGAGUGGAAUCUAUCGUACAGGAUUUUGUUUUCGAUGAAAGUGAAGAGGUUCAAUGUUAUUACCCUCAAGGUUACCAUGGAGUGGACAAAGAGGGAAGACCUGUAUAUAUUGAGAGACUUGGCUUAGUUGAGCCUACUAAACUUAUGAAUGUUACCACAAUAGACCGGUUUUUAAAAUACCAUGUUCAAGGGUUUGAGAAGACCUUUUCAGAGAAGUUUCCAGCUUGUUCUAUUGCUGCGAAAAGGCAUAUUGACUCGUCAACAACAAUUUUGGAUGUACAAGGAGUGAAUUGGAUGAGUUUCAGCAAGGUUGCACAUGAUCUGGUUAUGCGCAUGCAAAAAAUUGAUGGUGACAACUAUCCUGAGACAUUGCAUCAGAUGUUCAUUGUUAAUGCUGGGAGUGGUUUCAAACUGCUAUGGAAUACCAUAAAAGGUUUUCUUGAUCCAAGAACUACCUCAAAGAUACAUGUUUUGGGGAAUAAAUACCAGAAUAAACUGCUGGAAAUUAUAGACUCAAGCCAACUGCCAGAUUUCCUAGGUGGCUCUUGUUCAUGCCCAAAUGAAGGAGGGUGCAUGCGAUCUAAUAAGGGACCGUGGGAUGAUCCAGAAAUAAUCAAGCUGGUACAUUAUGGAGAAGCUUCAUAUUUGACAAAAACUAGCAGUAUUUUUUAUGGGGACAAUGUCCAACUUAAAAUAUAUGCCUCUAAGAUUGUAAGUAAUGAAAUAUCCUCUGCUGAGUCAGGAUCAGAAGUUGAAGUCUCAUCAACUGGGCUAAGAACUUCUGCCUUCGUACAAUUACCAACACUCCAUGAAGAAUUUUCUCAGGAAAGAAUAGACGAUCUUUUAGCCCUUCGCAGUCAGGCUGAAUCAGUUGGUACUGCUACCACAGUUAAAGAUAUCAGCUCAACAGAUGAUUCAACUGAUAAUGUUACGGAAAGAAGACCGAGGAACUACAUUUCUCAUUUAACAAGUUUAGUGUCGCAGUUCUUACUUAAAGUGUUAGCUGCCCUACAUAUUGUACAUUUUGGGUUCCGCAAGAUUGUUGCAGUAAAUAAUGACAGGACACGGUUGGAAAACCAACCUAAUCCAGAAUCAGCUAAUCCAAGUUCUGAAGACCAGCUUGCUUUACGGGCUGCUAGGGAAGACUUAAUCCGUCCAUGUUUGCAGAGGCUUCAAAGUUUAGAAGCAUUGGUAACUGAACUGACCAAUAAACCAGUGAAAAUCCCUCCAGAGAAAGAUAACAUGCUUCUGGAGUCAUUGAAUCGUAUUAAAUCUAUAGAAUAUGACUUACAGAAGACAAAGAAAGCACUACAUGCAACAACAUCGAAACAAGUGGAGCUUGCAGAAUCACUGGAGAUUUUGAAAGAAACCAACCUAAGGAGAAACUCUUGCUGGUUUAAGAUUUGCAAACCUAUUCCCCCUGGAAGCUGAACGGAUUUGGAAACAUCAAACAAGAUGGAGGCACCAAGCUGCUGCAGAAGGUCCCUUGUCUCAUAUUUUCUGAAAUGCUGAUGUUAACUAACCUUGGUCAAACUGCCGGAAUGGGUUUCUUCACUAGUUCGAGAAUUGUUCAGGUGUUUGACGUAGGCAGGAACUCACCAUAACCUGGGGGCAAAGAGAUGCAACUGUUUCCCCACUGAAAAUGAUAUACAAAGUAUUCAUGGUCAUAUGCUGGCUGCUUCUGCAUCAAUUUUUUCUGGGAUAUUUUAUGUAUAUCUUGACUCAUUUCAUUUGUAUUAAGUAAUA